RNA transcript from Nematostella vectensis (starlet sea anemone), 1184 nucleotides. It is a transcript of the gene named N-acetylneuraminate lyase B, with no coding region annotated. NCBI's taxonomy places the organism in Eukaryota, Metazoa, Cnidaria, Anthozoa, Actiniaria, Edwardsiidae. The transcript is spliced from 12 exons. The record is from RefSeq and is a predicted model, not a curated record.
UGGUCAAUAUGGAAUUUUUUGUAGAUAAACUAAAAGACGGCUGAAAUAUUGAAAAAAAAAUUCAGCAUGUGAUGUUAGCGUGUGCAUUGUAGCAGAAUCGCUUAACUUUUGCGAAUGCGUGACAAAGUUGAGUAACGCCAUAUCUCCGCUAGCAAGAAGCAAAGCUAAAAACACGAAUUUUAAUGAUGAAGGAAUUUGAGGGACUGAUUGCUGCACCCUACACUCCUUUUGAUCAAAAUGGUGACCUGAAGCUCGAUGUUAUUUCAAAGUACAUCCAGUUGCUGCUCGACCAAGGAGUACAAGGGGUCUGGGUUUGCGGUGCUACUGGCGAGGGAAUGUCUCUUACAGUCGAGGAGCGUAAAGCGGUGGCCAGUGCAUGGGUGUACGAAGGCAAAGGACGUUUGAAGCACAUCAUUAUCAACGUCGGAACAGGGAAUCUGAGAGACACACAAGAACUGGCCAACCAUGCGGCAGCUAUCGGUGCAGAUGCAAUAGGAUCAACCCCAACGGUGUACCCAAGGCCAGUCAGCAUAGACAACCUGGUGCAGUAUCUUUCCGAAGUUGGAAGAGUCGUCCCAGACACGCCCCUCUUAUACUACCAUGCACCGGGAGCAACAAAUGUCACGUUUCCCAUGGAGGAAUUCCUUGUGGCUGCUUCUGAAAAGAUCCCAUCCCUCGUGGGGAUCAAAUAUUCGUCCCCAGACCUCUUCGAUUUCAGCAGAUGCCUUCGGUACAAAAAUGGGAAGUACCAAAUGAUGUGGGGAGCAGAUGAGCUACUAAUCGGUGCUUACAGCGUUGGUGCUCGCACUGCUAUUGGCUCCCUGUGUACGCGCAUGCGUAUACGUUAUUCAUCUCUGUCGGGUACCAGAGGCUUUUCGUUUCCAGGCCCUCCCGUCGGCAUUGGUUUGUCGCGCUCUCGGUUCCCGUCGGCGUUCGUUUGACGCGCUUCGGAUUUUCGGCGGACAUACAACUAUAUGGCGCCCGUUUAUGCUCGUAUGAUUACAGCGUUCAAACAGGGAAAGAUGGAGACGGCACGCAAAGAAAUGGAUCGAUCACAAGCUCUGGUCAAGAUCCUUUUCAAGUUUGGUAAGAUAUUCCUCUCAUUGAAAAUAAGUAUUAAGUUAUCCUUCUAUCUCUUUCAUCCUUAAUAGUAACACGAAAUAAAGUUUGAUGUUUACAUCUCA